UAAAUCCCCAAACUUAACUCAGACGGAAAUCCCCAAAUCGACCACACCCUAACAUAGCCUCCUCCCCGAGCCGCCGCCGCCGCACCCCACCCUGCGCGGCUGCCGACCGCCCUCCGCCACACUCCAGUGCCAGCUUCCUCCCCGACCACGCGCCGACCACCGUCUGCCACACCUAGUGCCACUCCUCCCGGACCAUGCCGCCGAGCAUCCUCUGCCGCCCCGACCACCAUUCGUCGGACCUCCAGCAACGCCCAAGCAGCCAAGCCUCCUCCACGCGUCCUCCGCCAGGCUCCUCUAGGCUCGAGUUGCUCAAGUGUUUCAGCAGAAGGAUCUGUUCGAGUGAGGAUGUCCACAAGGAUGACGUCUAACUUCCACCAGAUCUGGCAUGGAACGAGGAUCCCCAAGUGACUCGCAGAUGCGAAGGAAAAUUGAGCAAGGUUCUGCCUCCCAUGGUUGAGCAGUCAUAAGGGUUAUGUUGUCUCUCCAUGUUGCUGGCAUAUGAGCCCAACUAAUAUUUGCUUCCUGUGAUCUAGGGAAGGAUAAGAUUGAUGUUUCCUACCUGCCAUACUCAUCUAUUUCGUCUUUCAGUUGACAUGCCUACUGUACGAAUUACAGUCUUUGGUACAUUCACUUAUCCCUUCGAAUUUGACAAGCAUGGAAGAAUCUGAAUAUCACAAGUUAUGAUUUCUUUGUUUCCUAAUCAUCCCUCUCCCGUUAUUAUUUAGCAUUGGCUAACUGACUGCGGUGUUUAUGCUUAUAUCCUUCGGUUAUAGUUUAUAACAAACCAAAUUAAGGAUUUUGUGUUCAUCUCUGAAAAUUCAUAAUGAUGUUUGGUAUUUAAUCUUUCAAGGAAAUGCAGCAAAGCUGUUGUACUAGGAAGAUUAUCCUGACAUGGAGUUUUUUAGGAACAGGAGAGUCGCACACAUCUAAAGUAUAGAAAUUUAUUCUUAAUGUGCUAGGCUUAAUGCAACUAAGAUAAAUGUUCAACAAGGCUUAUUGAUCUGUUAAAUUGUUCUCAGUUUCAGAUGUCAAUACAAGAAAGGUAACCUUGUGUUAGAUCUUCAAUCCAAGGGAGAAAUUGGAGCAUCGGGACAUUUAAACUGAACCUAAAUUAAGGAAUCAUGAUACUACUUUAUGGUCUGACUGGUGAAAGAGGUUGAAAAUGUUCCUGUAAGAUUCGUCAAGGCACCUUGCCUUAACCAUAUGCCCUGAGCUCACACAGAACUUACAGGCUUUAUUCUUUGUGUUUGUUACAUCUUGUACUGCUCAAAUGUCUAGAAACUAUAGAUGCUAAAUUAUGAGGGAAGUCUUCAUGUGUAAUCAAUGAAUUGCAUACAUUGUAAAAUGUUUGAUGAUCAAACUUUAUAAUAUAUAUGCGAUGUGCAUCUGCAUAAUCCUUUUGCUUUAUUUGAA
Long non-coding RNA from Triticum aestivum (bread wheat), 1413 nucleotides. RefSeq lists it as uncharacterized. The record is from RefSeq and is a predicted model, not a curated record. NCBI's taxonomy places the organism in Eukaryota, Viridiplantae, Streptophyta, Magnoliopsida, Poales, Poaceae. The transcript is spliced from 4 exons.